Taeniopygia guttata (zebra finch) is the source of this 1517-nucleotide non-coding RNA. Lineage: Eukaryota; Metazoa; Chordata; Aves; Passeriformes; Estrildidae. The record is from RefSeq and is a predicted model, not a curated record.
UAGGCACAAUGGGAUUCAAAAUUCAUUUAUUUUUCUUUCUGCAAGGUUCCAGCAGGGGGGAUGAGGGAGUUGUGGAUGCGUUCCUCGCUCUGCUUCCUAUCACUUGACGUUCUAGCCGAAAACCCUGCACCUUGCCGUGCUGCGGCGGGGGCCGGCGGUCAGGCGCGUUCCGGGCGGGGCAGGGGGACACCGCAGGGGUACACUGCAGGGGUCACCGGCUGAGGGACACCGCUCGGGCCCCGCGGCCCCGCCGAAGCCUCGCCGCGGCCCCGUAUCCCGGCAACGCGGCGGCCGCGGGCGGCGCCCGCGCUGGGCGGCCUCGGCCGGGCGGGCCGGGCCCGAGGCAGCGCCAGGGCCGCCCCUCGGCUGCCGCGGCCCGCGGAGCCUCCGCGCCGAGCGGCCGGGCCGUGUCCCGCACUGUCGUGCCCUCGUGUUGCACCUCUCCGGUGUUAGCCAGAGCCGAGCACGCCUUAGACACCGAUGGUUUCCCACGCAGCGGCUCUGCGUCCUAAGAAACAAACUGCUGUUUCUUCGAAGUAUCCAAAUUGUCUGGACAACCAGUGGAAAACACUGUGAUGAACUCAUCUUACCAGCUCCACAGUACAGUUGCAUGACUGGCUUUCUGGAUUCCUGAGUUAAAAGCUCAACUUCUAAGUAAAGAUGAAACAUAUCUCUAAAAAACAGGUAUUUUCUGAACAUGUUUGCAGGAAUGAGACUGUACAUCUCUAUUAACAUUACAUCUUUGACUUCAAGGCACGUUUCUUUUCUAGGUUAUACAGAAUGCUGGGUGCACAAAUAGUGCUUAACUGCUUGCAUGAUUCAGAUGACAGUGACUUGUCUGUCACCUUUUUAUAUAGAAGAUUCCGGAUUCCAAACAUUCCUUGUCAAUGAUUUGUACCUUUCCUCAAUUCUCAUAAGUGAAUAUGAUGAAUAUAUAUACAUGGUAGACAUUAUGCACAGAAAUGCGUAUCGGGAAAAGAGGGAACACGUAUCUUUUUCACUAUGGUUUAAAAAUGCAAUGGACUUUAACUUUGCUCAUGUUUUUUUUUUUUUCCCCUUCCAAAAAAUUUAGUGGGGAACAAUGUACUUUAAAGAAAAUAAGUCAUUGCUUGUAACUCGUUUUCUUAUUUAUUUCCACAUUACUAGAUUUUCCUUCUCUUAUUAUUUUUUAUGAUUUUUUCAUCUUAUAUAAUAACUCUGAUAUCAAACUGGAAAAACAAAUUUGCCUUUCUAUUUAUGUAAUUGGAUGCCAUCAGUCACUUUCCACCAAAGCAGAUCUAGUAAUAAAAGUAAGAUUAGGCAUUCUUUGCUCUCUGAGGAAAUAGUUCAUACUUCAGGGAAUUUAAGCAUAAUGAACUUCUAAAAUCUCCUCAAAUGAAAACAGGAACAUGGUGGAGGACUCAGUUUCUGUAUUCCACUUACUUAAGUGCAGGUUGAUAAAACUAAGAAGUAGUAUUUUGUACAUACUGAUAAUUACUUUUAAAUGAAAUUCCUGAUAGGCUGAAGUCGCUACUCAA